UCACAUAUAUAUCUCCAUUCACAUAUCACAAACAAAUUGAGUUCUAUAACUCAAUUAUCUUUAGUCAUAAUUUGACUUUAGCAAUUCGUAUAGCAUUGACAUUCAAAAAAUAAAUUUCAACAUAUUUACAAGGAUUUCAUUAUAAUGCAAUAACAAUUGCAAAUAACCAACAUCGAGUUCACAUAAUACAAGUAAACAGAAAAACUUGCCUUUAUUACAAAUUGUUAUCAGGUCUACUUGAUAUCGCGUACUCGAAGCAAUGCUAUCUCAUAUCGCACCUAUAUAGCAUACAUAAGGUUGUUAUGUAGGUUAAUGCAUUUAUAUCCCAUGAACUAUUAACUUAACUUUGUAUUUUUCAGGCUUAGUAAUUAUUCAUUCUUAAUUAACUUUAUCAAAUUUAUUAGAUUAAUUUAUAAUAUUAUAGGUUAAUAGUAGGUCAAAAUACGCUAUUAAACGUCUAAUUAUAUCAUCAUAUGUCACAAUAUAUCAGUCCUCCAAGUUUCGUUUUAAAACGAAUUAUAAAACUCAUUUGAACUAUUUUAAUCGUUAACGAACCUUGUUUGUCGUUUAAUCACAACUUCUUCGUUACUUAUCCGUUUUGGUUCAUUCUUACGCCAAAUUAAAGCUUAUUUCAUCUAAUUUAACACCAUGUAGGCCUGAUUUCAGUUCUUUUACCAUUCGAUACAGAAAAUUUCCCAAAGUUGCUGCCCAAAAUUUGUCCAGAUUCUGAAAAUUUGCAUUUUGGUAAUUUUCGGGCUAGUUUUGGGAAUUUUUAUCUCAUUCGUUAUACAUCUGAUUGAAGACAUUUUUGAAUAUGUUCUACCUCAUAAUAUUUUUAAAAAAUAUAACAUGUAUGAAAAGAGUUUGGCAAGUCUUCGAAACAGUGGCCCAAAACAGCCCAUUCACAACAGUUUCAGACUUAGAAAUUUCCAGAUUCCCAACAACUUUGUUAUUUUCCUACCUACUUUGCGACUUAAUAACUUGCAAACCAUACAUCUGAUUAACUUCAAUAUUGGAUAUGUUUGAGAUGUAACUACAUAGUAUUUUAGAAAAAUAUUAUUUGCCCAAAAUGAAUUCUCUAAGGCAUACUUAUAGAGGCUCAAAAUUCCCAGUUCUUCAAAAAAUUUAGCUUCAAACUAAUUUGGUAAAAUCUUUUGAUUUCAAUUUUAAACUGAAUUUAAACCAUCCACAUGGUUCAAGCUAUCUUAAAUUUCACAUUUACAUAUCUCUUAGCAUCAAGCUUUGCUCAAAUCUCAAAUUUUAAGCAUUAAACCUCUUUGCGGUAUUUUAUUAAGCAUCUUACAUGCAUAAUCUAAAUUUCCAGAUUUCAUACAUGUUUAGGCAUGGAAUAGGCCUAAAAUUUCCAUCCUUAUCACUCCAGAUUUCAUUUACUAUCUUUAUCAUACCAAUUCACAACCAUGCACAUCAAUAUAUAGCAACAAUCAACUAUUCUCUAUCUCAAUUCAUGAACUUAACAAAUAAAACUAACUUACCUCUUUGUAGCUUGAUGUUAUGAUCAAAUCCUUGCUCCAACUUUAAAUUAGUUGAGUUAAAUUCUUCUUUUGGACUGCACCUUACUCCAAUUUCUCUUCAAUUUCAGUUACCAACUUCAAUCUUUAGAGAAUUUGAUGAAUACUCAUGUUUUGGUAGUAGAGAAAUAUAUAGAAA
RNAcentral lists this long non-coding RNA (1668 nucleotides) under Panax ginseng (ginseng). RNAcentral's name for it is "long non-coding RNA (PGIN_LNC011316)". Lineage: Eukaryota; Viridiplantae; Streptophyta; Magnoliopsida; Apiales; Araliaceae. The record is from RNAcentral.